This 478-nucleotide ribosomal RNA is filed under the name uncultured bacterium. Its description in RNAcentral is "partial 16S ribosomal RNA". It matches the Rfam family "Bacterial small subunit ribosomal RNA", at positions 28 to 523 of the family's 1533-position model. The record is from RNAcentral.
GACGAACGCUGGCGGCGUGCUUAACACAUGCAAGUCGAACGGUAAGGCCCUUCGGGGUACACGAGUGGCGAACGGGUGAGUAACACGUGGGUGAUCUGCCCUGCACUUCGGGAUAAGCCUGGGAAACUGGGUCUAAUACCGGAUAGGACCCUGGGAUGCAUGUCCUGGGGUGGAAAGCUUUUGCGGUGUGGGAUGGGCCCGCGGCCUAUCAGCUUGUUGGUGGGGUGAUGGCCUACCAAGGCGACGACGGGUAGCAGGCCUGGGAGGGUGACCGGCCACACUGGGACUGAGAUACGGCCCAGACUCCUACGGGAGGCAGCAGUGGGGAAUAUUGCACAAUGGGCGCAAGCCUGAUGCAGCGACGCCGCGUGAGGGAUGACGGCCUUCGGGUUGUAAACCUCUUUCAGCACCGACGAAGCGCAAGUGACGGUAGGUGCAGAAGAAGGACCGGCCAACUACGUGCCAGCAGCCGCGGUAA